UGCAUUGUGAAAAGUGAAAACUCUCAUGGCAAGAAGAAGUUUCUAAUGAAAAGAAAAGUUGUUCAUUAAAGAUAAAAGUUUUUGAAGUUUUGUUAUGCUAUAAAGGUAAAGUUUCUGAUGAAAGUACAAGUUUAUGUUUAAAAGUUAUCAGAUAUCUGUUUUUAUGAAACGUUAAGUUUUAUGAUAAUGAAAGUUAUAGUAUUUUAUGAGAAGCAGUUUAUAAGGAAAAGUUUUCUUAUUAGUCAAGAUGUUUCUAGUUUAAUACAAAGUUGCCGAUUAUCUGAUUUAAGUUAAAAUAAUUAUCUUGUAAUGAGAAUAUAUGUAUGGCGACUCUGUAGGAAGUGAAAGAAGUUUAAUCCAAAAGGUUUUGGUAAUAUUAAACCGAUAAGAAAAAUGAGAAUAAUUAUUUUCUAUGAUGAGCGUAUAAGCUAUUAUUAUGAAUAGUAUAAAAUACUAUGCAUGAAAAGAUGUUAUCCUGUUCGAAUAUUCAAAGAAUGAAAUGAUUUGGUUACAUACAUCCUUAUUGAAUUCUCAUAUAUCUUACCUUUACUGUGCUAUGUAGCUCAACCCUUCCACUCUUUCAGUUAGUAGGUUUUAUUUUGGAGCAGAGGGAGCCUUAGUCGAGUUUGGAAGGAGCUGGUUUAGUUUUAUAUGUAUAGAUCCUAAAUUAGCAAUAUGAUGUUUAGAUUUGUAGCAUUGUUUAUUUUAAGAUCUAAUGAAAGUGUAUACCUUAAAGUAUUAAGAGAUGUAUUAUGUGAAAUUCCGAAUUUGAACAAGUGGUGAAUUAUGUUAUUCUUUGGAGUACAA
Long non-coding RNA from Quercus robur (English oak), 807 nucleotides. RefSeq lists it as uncharacterized. The transcript has 2 exons. The record is from RefSeq and is a predicted model, not a curated record. NCBI's taxonomy places the organism in Eukaryota, Viridiplantae, Streptophyta, Magnoliopsida, Fagales, Fagaceae.